GAACCGGAGCUAAUACCGGAUAAUAUUUUGAACCGCAUGGUUCAAAAGUGAAGACGGUCUUGCUGUCACUUAUAGAUGGAUCCGCGCUGCAUUAGCUAGUUGGUAAGGUAACGGCUUACCAAGGCAACGAUGCAUAGCCGACCUGAGAGGGUGAUCGGCCACACUGGAACUGAGACACGGUCCAG
This 185-nucleotide ribosomal RNA is filed under the name uncultured Staphylococcus sp. RNAcentral describes it as "partial 16S ribosomal RNA". It matches the Rfam family "Bacterial small subunit ribosomal RNA", at positions 154 to 334 of the family's 1533-position model. Lineage: Bacteria; Bacillati; Bacillota; Bacilli; Caryophanales; Staphylococcaceae. The record is from RNAcentral.